This 459-nucleotide ribosomal RNA is filed under the name uncultured bacterium. RNAcentral's name for it is "partial 16S ribosomal RNA". It matches the Rfam family "Bacterial small subunit ribosomal RNA", at positions 338 to 795 of the family's 1533-position model. The record is from RNAcentral.
CCUACGAGCGGCAGCAGUGAGGAAUAUUGGUCAAUGGUCGGGAGACUGAACCAGCCAAGCCGCGUGAGGGAUGAAGGUACAGAGUAUCGUAAACCUCUUUUGUCAGGGAACAAAGGCGGGGACGUGUCCCCGGACGAGUGUACCUGAAGAAAAAGCAUCGGCUAACUCCGUGCCAGCAGCCGCGGUAAUACGGAGGAUGCGAGCGUUAUCCGGAUUUCUGGGGUUUAAAGGGUGCGCAGGCGGUCUGUUAAGUCAGCGGUAAAAGCCCGGGGCUCAACCCCGGCCCGCCGUUGAAACUGGAGGUCGCGAGUUGGAGAGAAGUAUGCGGAAUGCGCGGUGUAGCGGUGAAAUGCAUAGAUAUCGCGCAGAACUCCGAUUGCGAAGGCAGCAUGCCGGCUCCACACUGACGCUGAGGCACGAAAGCGUGGGUAUCGAACAGGAUUAGAUACCCCUGUAGUC